GAUGAACGCUGGCGGCGUGCCUAAUACAUGCAAGUCGAGCGAACAGACGAGGAGCUUGCUCCUUUGACGUUAGCGGCGGACGGGUGAGUAACACGUAGGUAACCUACCUAUAAGACUGGGAUAACUUCGGGAAACCGGAGCUAAUACCGGAUAAUAUUUCGAACCGCAUGGUUCGAUAGUGAAAGAUGGCUUUGCUAUCACUUAUAGAUGGACCUGCGCCGUAUUAGCUAGUUGGUAAGGUAACGGCUUACCAAGGCAACGAUACGUAGCCGACCUGAGAGGGUGAUCGGCCACACUGGAACUGAGACACGGUCCAGACUCCUACGGGAGGCAGCAGUAGGGAAUCUUCCGCAAUGGGCGAAAGCCUGACGGAGCAACGCCGCGUGAAUGAUGAAGGUCUUCGGAUCGUAAAACUCUGUUAUUAGGGAAGAACAAACGUGUAAGUAACUGUGCACGUCUUGACGGUACCUAAUCAGAAAGCCACGGCUAACUACGUG
Molecule: ribosomal RNA, 497 nt
Filed under: uncultured bacterium
Lineage: Bacteria
Description: partial 16S ribosomal RNA
Rfam family: Bacterial small subunit ribosomal RNA
Source: RNAcentral